CCAGACUCCUACGGGAGGCAGCAGUGAGGCAUAUUGGUCAAUGGGCGAGAGCCUGAACCAGCCAAGUCGCGUGAGGGAGUACUGCCCUAUGGGUUGUAAACCUCUUUUGUCGGGGAGCAAAAGCCGGACGUGUCCGUCUGUGAGAGUACCCGAAGAAAAAGCAUCGGCUAACUCCGUGCCAGCAGCCGCGGUAAUACGGAGGAUGCGAGCGUUAUCCGGAUUUACUGGGUGUAAAGGGCGUGUAGGCGGGAUGGCAAGUCAGGGGUGAAAACUAUGGGCUCAACCCAUAGCCUGCGUUUGAAACUGUCGUUCUUGAGUGAUGGAGAGGCAAGCGGAAUUCCGUGUGUAGCGGUGAAAUGCGUAGAUAUACGGAGGAACACCAGUGGCGAAGGCGGCUUGCUGGACAUUAACUGACGCUGAGGCGCGAAAGCGUGGGGAGCAAACAGGAUUAGAUACCCCAGUA
RNAcentral lists this ribosomal RNA (463 nucleotides) under uncultured bacterium. Its description in RNAcentral is "bacterial SSU rRNA". It matches the Rfam family "Bacterial small subunit ribosomal RNA", at positions 331 to 792 of the family's 1533-position model. The record is from RNAcentral.